UGUGUGUGUGUGUGUGUGUGUGUCAGUGGCGUAGCCAGAAUUUUAUUUUUGGGCGGGCCUGGACAAAAGCGAGCGGGCACUAGGCUAACU
This is a long non-coding RNA of Sinocyclocheilus rhinocerous, 90 nucleotides long. RefSeq lists it as uncharacterized. The transcript is spliced from 3 exons. The record is from RefSeq and is a predicted model, not a curated record. Lineage: Eukaryota; Metazoa; Chordata; Actinopteri; Cypriniformes; Cyprinidae.